Molecule: ribosomal RNA, 467 nt
Filed under: uncultured bacterium
Lineage: Bacteria
Description: bacterial SSU rRNA
Rfam family: Bacterial small subunit ribosomal RNA
Source: RNAcentral
CUCCUACGGGAGGCAGCAGUGGGGAAUAUUGCACAAUGGGGGAAACCCUGAUGCAGCCAUGCCGCGUGUGUGAAGAAGGCCUUCGGGUUGUAAAGCACUUUCAGUAGGGAGGAAGGUAGUGUAGUUAACACCUGCACUAUUUGACGUUACCUACAGAAGAAGCACCGGCUAACUCCGUGCCAGCAGCCGCGGUAAUACGGAGGGUGCGAGCGUUAAUCGGAAUUACUGGGCGUAAAGCGCAUGCAGGCGGCCUGUUAAGUCAGAUGUGAAAGCCCCGGGGCUUAACCUCGGAAUUGCAUUUGAAACUGGCAGGCUAGAGUCUUGUAGAGGGGGUAGAAUUUCAGGUGUAGCGGUGAAAUGCGUAGAGAUCUGAAGGAAUACCAGUGGCGAAGGCGGCCCCCUGGACAAAGACUGACGCUCAGAUGCGAAAGCGUGGGGAGCCAAACAGGAUUAGAUACCCCUGGUAG